GGCGCGCAGGCGCAGGAGGGUGGGUGUAGAAGAGGCGCGCAGGCGCAGGAGGGGCGAGAGAGGCGCGCAGGCGCGGGCCGCGUGGCGGUACUUCGAAGAAAGACUUGGCGACGCCCGGACGCUGCUCGUGGUGCUCGAAGUAGCACAUCUUGGUUUGGACAGGCCACAUUGUGGCCAGUGGCUGCCAUAUUGGACAGCACUGGUAUAAGAGGGUCCAUCUCUCACUCCCACAUCAAUGUCCAAUGGUUUCUCAUUCAACUGGAAAGUGAAAUUGGAAAUCUCACGAAAGAUGAAGAAUUAUGAAUGUGGUAUGUUGAACUGCUGGGCCCACCCACAAGACAUCGACACAUGAAGGUACAGAAGGGUUAAACCAGUUAACACUGAACAAAGGACAAUGGAUGUGAUGAGUCACAGGCUGAGUUGUACUCCUCUACAGUUCACAUGUUGAAGUCCUAACCUUUAGUACCUCAGGAUAUAACUUCUUUGGAAACAGGAUCAUUACAGAAGUUAAAAUGAGGUCAUUAGGGUGGGCUCUAAUCUUAUUAACCUGUCCUUAUAAAAGGGAAAUUUGAACACAGAGACACCCACAGGGAAGAUGAUGUGAAGACACAGAGAGAAGACAGCCAUCAGCAAGCCAAGGAGAGAGGUCUGGAAUGGAUCCUCCCCUCACAGCCCUCAGAAGGAACCAAGCCAAUCAGCCUUUCAAUCUCACAGUUUUAGCAUGCAGAUCUGUGAGACAAUACAUUUAUGUUGUUUAAGCCCUCCAGUCUGUGGUACUUUGUUAUGUAGCCCCAGCAAACUAAAACAUGGGUUGGCUGGUGGCAUUAGAACAAUUUGCCCAGGAGAAGGUUACAGGCAGCCUAUAGGACAAUUGAAGAUGCAUUCUACUUUCUGCCUGCAUUGUGCAUCUAGU
Cercocebus atys (sooty mangabey) is the source of this 913-nucleotide long non-coding RNA. RefSeq lists it as uncharacterized. Lineage: Eukaryota; Metazoa; Chordata; Mammalia; Primates; Cercopithecidae. The record is from RefSeq and is a predicted model, not a curated record. The transcript has 2 exons.